Molecule: transfer RNA, 69 nt
Filed under: Ictidomys tridecemlineatus (thirteen-lined ground squirrel)
Lineage: Eukaryota; Metazoa; Chordata; Mammalia; Rodentia; Sciuridae
Description: Spermophilus tridecemlineatus (thirteen-lined ground squirrel) tRNA
Rfam family: tRNA
About the family: Transfer RNA (tRNA) molecules are approximately 80 nucleotides in length. Their secondary structure includes four short double-helical elements and three loops (D, anti-codon, and T loops).
Source: Rfam by way of RNAcentral
GGGGAUGUAGCCCAGUGGUAGAGCACUUGCCUAGCAUGUGAAAAGCCCUGGGUUCAAUUCCUAGCACCA